Molecule: long non-coding RNA, 165 nt
Organism: Helianthus annuus (common sunflower)
Lineage: Eukaryota; Viridiplantae; Streptophyta; Magnoliopsida; Asterales; Asteraceae
Exons: 3
Source: RefSeq, a predicted model, not a curated record
AUCAUUUCACACUUGAUUUUUUUGUUGAAAUGAUUAUUAAUAUGAUUUUUUUUUGAACGAGUUUUUUUGGUGGUUGGUGACGCCGGAGUUCGAAACGUCGUCGGAGUCAAGAUCUAGUAAUGGUUUAGCCUUUUGAUCUGAACAAAACAUAUCCAUAAAGAUAUU